GGACCCGCACAAGCGGUGGAGCAUGUGGUUUAAUUCGAUGCAACGCGAAAAACCUUACCUACUCUUGACAUACUUGGAAGCUUUUGUAAUGAAAGUGUGCCUUUUGGAACCAAGAUACAGGUGCUGCAUGGCUGUCGUCAGCUCGUGUCGUGAGAUGUUCCGUUAAGUCGGAUAACGAGCGCAACCCUUACCCUUAUUUGCCAGCGAUUAGGUCGGGAACUAUAAGGGGACUGCCGGUGAUAAACCGGAGGAAGGUGAGGACGACGUCAAGUCAUCAUGGCCCUUACGAGUAGGGCUACACACGUGCUACAAUGGGGAAUACAGACGGACGCUAAGCCGCGAGGUGGUGCUAAUCCUAGAAAGUUUCUCGUAGUCCGGAUUGGAGUCUGCAACUCGACUCCAUGAAGUCGGAAUCGCUAGUAAUCG
RNAcentral lists this ribosomal RNA (426 nucleotides) under uncultured bacterium. RNAcentral describes it as "bacterial SSU rRNA". It matches the Rfam family "Bacterial small subunit ribosomal RNA", at positions 917 to 1344 of the family's 1533-position model. The record is from RNAcentral.